AUUAAUUCCGAAAAGUUUUAAUGGAAAGCAAAGAAAAUUGCACUAAAUGCUAUAGUUUUUUCUAUAAAUU
Non-coding RNA from Caenorhabditis elegans, 70 nucleotides. The record is from Ensembl. Lineage: Eukaryota; Metazoa; Nematoda; Chromadorea; Rhabditida; Rhabditidae.